GCCUUAUGGAAGCCAUGCCCGGGUGUAUGAAGAAGGCCUUUCGGGUUGUAAAGUACUUUCAGCAGUGAGGAAGGUGGGUAAUGUUAAUAGCAUACUUCAUUUACGUUAGCUGCCAGAAGAAGCACCCGGCUAACUUCCGUGCCAGCAGCCGGCGGUAAUACGGAGGGUGCGAGCGUUAAUCGGAAUUACUGGGCGUAAAGCGCAUGCAGGUGGUUUGUUAAGUCAGAUGUGAAAGCCCGGGGCUCAACCUCGGAAUUGCAUUUGAAACUGGCAAACUAGAGUACUGUAGAGGGGGGUAGAAUUUCAGGUGUAGCGGUGAAAUGCGUAGAGAUCUGAAGGAAUACCGGUGGCGAAGGCGGCCCCCUGGACAGAUACUGACACUCAGAUGCGAAAGCGUGGGGAGCAAACAGGAUUAGAUACCCUGGUAGUCCACGCCGUAAACGAUGUCUACUUGGAGGUUGUGGCCUUGAGCCGUGGCUUUCGGAGCUAACGCGUUAAGUAGACCGCCUGGGGAGUACGGUCGCAAGAUUAAAACUCAAAUGAAUUGACGGGGGCCCGCACAAGCGGUGGAGCAUGUGGUUUAAUUCGAUGCAACGCGAAGAACCUUACCUACUCUUGACAUCUACAGAAGCCAGCGGAGACGCAGGUGUGCCUUCGGGAACUGUAAGACAGGUGCUGCAUGGCUGUCGUCAGCUCGUGUUGUGAAAUGUUGGGUUAAGUCCCGCAACGAGCGCAACCCUUAUCCUUGUUUGCCAGCACUUCGGGUGGGAACUCCAGGGAGACUGCCGGUGAUAAACCGGAGGAAGGUGGGGACGACGUCAAGUCAUCAUGGCCCUUACGAGUAGGGCUACACACGUGCUACAAUGGCGCAUACAGAGGGCGGCCAACUUGCGAAAGUGAGCGAAUCCCAAAAAGUGCGUCGUAGUCCGGAUUGGAGUCUGCAACUCGACUCCAUGAAGUCGGAAUCGCUAGUAAUCGUGGAUCAGAAUGCCACGGUGAAUACGUUCCCGGGCCUUGUACACACCGCCCGUCACACCAUGGGAGUGGGCUCCAAAAGAAGUGGGUAGUUUAACCUUCGGGAGGACGCUCACCACUUUGUGGUUCAUGACUGGGGUGAAGUCCUAACAAGGUAACCG
Molecule: ribosomal RNA, 1136 nt
Filed under: uncultured bacterium
Lineage: Bacteria
Description: bacterial SSU rRNA
Rfam family: Bacterial small subunit ribosomal RNA
Source: RNAcentral